This 30-nucleotide non-coding RNA is filed under the name Rattus norvegicus (Norway rat). The record is from RNAcentral. Lineage: Eukaryota; Metazoa; Chordata; Mammalia; Rodentia; Muridae.
UGGCCUCUGUAUGCACGGUUUUAGAUGCUC